GAGUCGUUUACCUCUUUUGAGGCAUGCUAUAAAUUAGAGUGUAACUUUGGUCCUAAACCUAAAAAUUGUGAAAGAAUCAAAUUUACAAAACAAAAAAGUGCGAAAGUACAAUUGCUGAUAUAAGGUAUGUCUAAUACCUAUGGAAAGUAUUAGGUCGUAGAGCAUGACCCAAAUUCUGCAUCCCAAGGUGGUUAUUAUGUGUACCCCUAAACUCAUUUU
Molecule: unclassified non-coding RNA, 219 nt
Filed under: Hevea brasiliensis (rubber tree)
Lineage: Eukaryota; Viridiplantae; Streptophyta; Magnoliopsida; Malpighiales; Euphorbiaceae
Source: RNAcentral